This is a long non-coding RNA of Xiphophorus couchianus (Monterrey platyfish), 1244 nucleotides long. RefSeq lists it as uncharacterized. The record is from RefSeq and is a predicted model, not a curated record. Lineage: Eukaryota; Metazoa; Chordata; Actinopteri; Cyprinodontiformes; Poeciliidae. The transcript is spliced from 2 exons.
ACUUCGUCCUGCUGUAGCAGGACGAAGUGAUACCAAAUAAAAGCUACAUUGACAAACUGCUGUCUUCAUUCAAAAUGCAGCAUGAAUGGUCUUUAUUCAUGGAGUGAAAACCUGACGACUUGAACAUGAAACCUUCUUGUUUGGACAGGAUGAGCGUCCCCACUAUUCAUCCCUCAUCCCUGCAGACAUACCAUGUGCAUGAAACCACACACACACACAAUCUUUGUUCAAUAGGUGGAGGUACUCCUUUUUUCUUUUUUUUAAUGCACAGUGUGGGCGGAGUGACUUUUACAGGAAGACUUGAUCCUACAUGCUUCGAAUUCCCUGCACACUUUUUUCCAGUUGUGCUGGUGCAGAGGCCCUCUUGCCUCCAGCUUCUUCCCAGGAUGCUGCUGCUGCUGCUGCUGCUGCUGCUGUGGAUUUGCGUCUGUAUCAAUUCUCCGGUUCAGGUCCAAGGAGCUCUGGUUCUUUCCCAAAGAGAUGGCCUGAGACAGGUAUUUACUCUGAACAACAUAUGAAGUAAUUUGUAUUUGUUUUACUCGCUUUUCUGCAAAGGAGCUUUACUGUGUAUCAGGAAAAAAAUAUCUCUCUCAGUUCUACCAUGGAGAUGGUUUGAUUCUACCAUGGUUUGAAAUGACAGAUUCGCAUCCAGGAGAAGUGGAGGGAAAGUCAAAUGUGAUAAUGUACAUAAAAGGCCAAACCAUCAAUGUCUUUCUUUUACCAGGCACUGGGGAAAAGAUUUCAGCAGGGAUGUGAAAACGGGAAAGAACGUCCUCUGCUGGUUCGUGAACGAUGACGGACACGGCCUCAUCGACGGAUCAGCUUCAGACUACACUGUGCCUCACCUUUUCACUUUUUAAAUCUUAGAAACUCACCAUAUCUGCAACAACAUUGGUCUAAGGUGGUAAAAUACAGUGGAUUUUGAAUUUCCAGUUGUAAAUCAUUAUGCAAUUAAUACUCCUUUGUAAGCUGUGUUGAAGGAAGGUGCUGCAGGUCGCUGCAACGUAAGUCAUGCACUAAUUGUCUAAUGCUAACGUUUACUGAUUUGUUUAGACGUUUUUGUGUCUGGUUUAAACUUUUUGCUCAUGAGGCAUUCAGUGGUAAUCAUCUUAAGAAAGAAACUAACUAUUGGCUUUGCGCAGUGUUUUCUACCUCUUUGGUAAACCAUAAGCUUCAUAAAGUUCACAGGGACUUUGUCGUCACUAUUCCCUUCCUAUUAACAAAUAAAAGUCUUCAAAGUGUGG